UACAGAGGUGGCAAGCGUUGUUCGGAAUUACUGGGCGUAAAGGGCGCGUAGGCGGCCAUCUAAGUCAGACGUGAAAUCCCCCGGCUUAACCUGGGAACUGCGUCUGAUACUGGACGGCUCGAGUUUGGGAGAGGGAUGUGGAAUUCCAGGUGUAGCGGUGAAAUGCGUAGAUAUCUGGAGGAACACCGGUGGCGAAGGCGGCAUCCUGGACCGAGAUUGACGCUGAGGCGCGAAAGCCAGGGGAGCAAACGGG
This 253-nucleotide ribosomal RNA is filed under the name uncultured bacterium. RNAcentral's name for it is "partial 16S ribosomal RNA". It matches the Rfam family "Bacterial small subunit ribosomal RNA", at positions 524 to 776 of the family's 1533-position model. The record is from RNAcentral.